AAUAGAUACCCGGGUAGUCCACGCCGUAAACGAUGAGUGCUAAGUGUUAGAGGGUUUCCGCCCUUUAGUGCUGAAGUUAACGCAUUAAGCACUCCGCCUGGGGAGUACGGCCGCAAGGCUGAAACUCAAAGGAAUUGACGGGGGCCCGCACAAGCGGUGGAGCAUGUGGUUUAAUUCGAGGCAACGCGAAGAACCUUACCAGGUCUUGACAUCCUCUGACAACCCUAGAGAUAGGGCUUCUCCUUCGGGAGCAGAGUGACAGGUGGUGCAUGGUUGUCGUCAGCUCGUGUCGUGAGAUGUUGGGUUAAGUCCCGCAACGAGCGCAACCCUUGAUCUUAGUUGCCAUCAUUCAGUUGGGCACUCUAAGGUGACUGCCGGUGACAAACCGGAGGAAGGUGGGGAUGACGUCAAAUCAUCAUGCCCCUUAUGACCUGGGCUACACACGUGCUACAAUGGACGGUACAAAGAGCUGCAAGACCGCGAGGUGGAGCUAAUCUCAUAAAACCGUUCUCAGUUCGGA
This 520-nucleotide ribosomal RNA is filed under the name uncultured bacterium. RNAcentral describes it as "bacterial SSU rRNA". It matches the Rfam family "Bacterial small subunit ribosomal RNA", at positions 777 to 1297 of the family's 1533-position model. The record is from RNAcentral.